Molecule: long non-coding RNA, 2513 nt
Organism: Cyprinus carpio (common carp)
Lineage: Eukaryota; Metazoa; Chordata; Actinopteri; Cypriniformes; Cyprinidae
Exons: 3
Source: RefSeq, a predicted model, not a curated record
AGAGUGUGUGAGCAACGAGGUGCAUGGCUCGCUGCACUUGAUUGGACGCACCUGAAGCCUACCGCACAUCAUCACAGUUUGUUCUACAUUUCCAUCAAGUGCUCCGAAACAGAGGAGGAUUUAGUGUAUUGAUCAAAGGCGCCUGUUGUUUUCAAGGAGAUGGUGGCCGCAUCCAACUUCCUGUGUUGUACUGAAUGCAGUGAAGAGCUUACUUCUCAAAUAUUGAUGAAGCACACUCUGUAGGAAUGCAGAUACGCAAUAUCAAUACCUUCCAGGUGUGUGCCAGAUUCAAUCCCACGACAGAAUCAAAUCACCUUUGGACCCGAAAAAAGCUCUGUGAUGUCUUCCCUAAGUGUUCGCACCUCUUACGAAAGCGCUCAAAGAUAAUCUCACAGUCUAUGGCUGGAUGAAAGAUGUCAUCAUAUUCCUACGCUACCAGAUGGCUACAUUACCCCAACACGACUUCCUCUAGAUACUUCAGUCCUUCUAGUACCCAUAUGUGGCACAGCAUCCCCUAAGACACUGGGACCCAUCUUGAGAGCAGCAGUAGAAGCUUGCAUGGCAAAGAGGAUUCGAUGGAGUAUUCAAGUGGCGCUAGCUAUUAUAUUAAGGCAAUAGUCAAACUACUUCUCCUUCUUCUCUACCGUUUCUGUCUUUCCAAGCUAGGGGCAUGUUCACUUUCUCUCAUUCUGUCCCUCAGUAGGAGGCUUGUUCUUCCUGUAUAUCACACUGGGUGAUGAAGCACUGAAAUAGAGCAGGUGAUGGUGGCUGACGUCUAAACUUCAUUCCCUUGGGCACUGCAAUGAGAAACAUUAAGAGCCACACUUGUUUAUUCACUUUACGUUUGCAUCAAACUCUAUAUCACGUGUCAAACCAGUGGGACUCUUGCUGAUGACCAUUCCACAGAAAGAUCGACUGAUGGGAAUUGUUUGAAUGGAAUGAGGUCACGAUGAGGGGAAAACCACAAUUGACAGAGGAAAUACCACUGUGCAAAGAGCAUGUCAGUAAAAGACAGACUUCAUUAGGACUACAACCCCCAUUCUGUCUCCAGAGCUUAUGGCCCAGUUGCUUCAGCAGAUCCCUAUUCAACAGAGCCUCAGCCUGCCAUCUGAAGACACCGCAGUGUGCCAAGCUUCUCGAAAUAUCUCCUCACCAGGGAAAUGACUCUGCCUGUCAACCUGAGAAACCAAUGUUCCCCUCAAGCCCAGACACAUUCUCAAAAUAGUUUUGCUUUCUUCAGAAGAACAAAAAGAGCGUUUUCUGUGAUUCUGCCUGGCAUUAAAGUUUAGCCCCGUGGCAGACACAAUGGGCACGAGCAAUGAACGGUGUGCAGCGACAAAAAGACAAUCAUUCGGAAAAGACUGAAGUCUGGGACGUCUCAAUCCUCAGUCGUUUGCAUUUCAGUGUUUUUUUCUUCUCAAGUGCAUCAUAAAUCUGUGGAUUUUAAAUCUGGAUUCUGCACUUUUCCACUUUCUGCCCUUCAAAAAUUAGGCCAAUUCCUGGCGUUCUCUAGACACCGGAUUGAUGUGGUUAAGAUGAUGGGCUAAGAGUGGACACAAGCACUCUUGUGUGUGUUUUUCAAGGGGAAAUGGUGGGGGGUGAAGUGUGCUCAGAGAGAUGACACAUCUUACAGGCUGACACCCAGCCCAGCUGAGGCAGACACCUGCACUUCCUCAUCCGUGGGGCUCAUCAGCAGUCCGUGAUUACGUCGCGUUAGCCUGCUUUGCCGCUGACGUGACCAGACUGCCAAUGGAGCCUGUUGUCCUAUCAGGGUAUCGGAGCUCAUCUGUGGCACACUAUCGCCAAGGACUCUCAAUGUGAGAAGCGCCAUCAGGCUCCCACUCCACUGCACAUCUGUCUGUAACAGCCUGUUUGUUUUAGACAGUCUGGAAUUAAAGGACAUUAAAUACAAUGAUUUUUGCCCUGUUGAUUCAGAGCCUGUGAGAGUGUCCUCUAGCUGUGAUAUAGGUUCUGCAUCAUUCAAACCCUAAUCACGCCACUGAUAAUUUUCUUUCACCCCUCAUCAAUUGCCUGUUUUUACACCUCUCCUGUUAUUUGCUCAAGGAACACGUAGGCCAUGAGUGGUCACCUAUAAACAUCACUUCUUCUUUCACAUGUAUGGCACGGUCAUAAUAGAGCGAUAUGAAGGGAUUGAUUGGUGCAGCACAGGGAGCAUAGUUGAGUGAAGAACACAGAAUAGAAAUUAAUUAACCAGAGUCUGGUCAGUCAAUAAUUACUUCUCAAUUUCCCCUCCAAUGGUACAUAUCAAAGGCUGGCGACAUGCACUAUGGGGAUGUGUGCCAUUCAGAAUUGAAUUAAGUAUGCCCUUUGGAUUCCUGUAUUUGAAUCAAGGUAGCAAACAGGACUGAGAAAUGCUGUUCCAAUGUGAAUAUGAGUAGAAUUUAAAAUUAACUAAAUUCACAUUCAAAUAACUAAUGUUUAAUUGGAAAAACAAUGUUUUUUUAAAAAAAAUAUUGAGUUUAGAUAUUAAAAUAUAGCCUAUAUCUAGAUAG